Molecule: ribosomal RNA, 426 nt
Filed under: Metarhabditis sp. BRLN
Lineage: Eukaryota; Metazoa; Nematoda; Chromadorea; Rhabditida; Rhabditidae
Description: partial large subunit ribosomal RNA
Rfam family: Eukaryotic large subunit ribosomal RNA
Source: RNAcentral
GGAGAGAGUUGUCUGAUCUGGGUUGCUAAGCUUAUGCGUUGGCCGUUAAUUCGGUCUUCGUUGAGUGGUGCUGCCGUGGAUGCGCUGGUAGUGUCGGUGAUGGUCGCUGGACUGGUUAGUGUUGCCCACUUCGGUGGUGUCUUGCUUCUGGUUAGGCGUCUUGUUGCUGAUGCUGAGCUUCACCUAGUGAAGUACCGGUGUUAUAGACGACCACCUCUCCGGCCCGUCUUGAAACACGGACCGAGGAGUGUAACUAGUACGCGAGUCAGAGAGUGGUAAACUCAAUGGCGCAAUUAACGUGAAGGUUGUUCAUCAGCCUGACAUGGGAUCCGUUUCUUCGGAAGCGGCGCACCAUGGCCCUGUCUUGGAAGCUUGCUUCUGGGCAGAGGAAGAGCGUACUGGUUGCGACCCGAAAGAUGGUGAACU